ACACUGACGUCGCGACGCAUAUCAAUAAGCGGAGGAAAAGAAACUAACAAGGAUUCCCUUAGUAACGGCGAGUGAAGCGGGAAGAGCUCAAAUUUGAAAUCUUCAAGGUUCUACCUUGACGAAUUGUAGUUUAAAGAAGUGUUUUCUGUUAGUGGAGUGGCAAAAGUUCUUUGGAAUAGGACAUCAUAGAGGGUGAGAAUCUCGUAUUUGUACCAUUCCUUCUAGCUUUGUGAUACACUUUCAAAGAGUCGGAUUGUUUGGGAAUGCAGUCCAAAAUGGGUGGUAAAUUUCAUCUAAAGCUAAAUAUUGGCGAGAGACCGAUAGCGAACAAGUACCGUGAGGGAAAGAUGAAAAGAACUUUGAAAAGAGAGUUAAACAGUACGUGAAAUUGUCAAAAGGGAAGCGUUUGACACCAGUGUUGUUUUUCCGAAAAUCAAUUAUAAAUGUUUUGUUUCUGAGGAGUGAUGACUUCAUCGGCUUCCUUCUCUCUUCACGAAACUUUUGUAAUGCACUUUUCGGUUAACAAGUCAACAUCAAUUUCUUUUGUUGUAAAAGAGUAUUCGGAAGGUGGCUUUCUUUUCGGAGAAAGUGUUUAUAGCCCUAUACUUCUACAAUCGGAGAGAUUGAGGUCUGCAGCGUAGAUCCUUCGGGGUUAGAUACACUUGUGCUAAGUUAUAGCUUUUCAUAGACAACUUGUUGACUAUGUUUAGUCUUGUAGCUUACUCGCUUGUGCUAUUUUACCUACGCUUAGGAUGUUGAGUCGUAGAGCACGCAG
This 775-nucleotide ribosomal RNA is filed under the name uncultured Neocallimastigales. Its description in RNAcentral is "partial large subunit ribosomal RNA". It matches the Rfam family "Eukaryotic large subunit ribosomal RNA", at positions 25 to 634 of the family's 3401-position model. The record is from RNAcentral. Lineage: Eukaryota; Fungi; Neocallimastigomycota; Neocallimastigomycetes; Neocallimastigales.